Molecule: transfer RNA, 67 nt
Filed under: Squilla mantis
Lineage: Eukaryota; Metazoa; Arthropoda; Malacostraca; Stomatopoda; Squillidae
Description: tRNA-Leu
Rfam family: tRNA
About the family: Transfer RNA (tRNA) molecules are approximately 80 nucleotides in length. Their secondary structure includes four short double-helical elements and three loops (D, anti-codon, and T loops).
Source: RNAcentral
GUUAAGUUGGCAGAAAAGUGCAUUAGACUUAGGAUCUAAAAAUAAGAGUUUGAAUUCUUACUUAAUA